GUGAGGAAUUUUCCGCAAUGGGCGAAAGCCUGGCGGAGCAAUGCCGCGUGAAGAUGAAGGCCUAUGGGUUGUAAACUUCUUUUCUUAGAGAAGAAUAUUGACGGUAUCUGAGGAAUAAGCAUCGGCUAACUCUGUGCCAGCAGCCGCGGUAAGACAGAGGAUGCAAGCGUUAUCCGGAAUGAUUGGGCGUAAAGCGUCUGUAGGUGGCUUCAAAAGUCUCCUGUCAAAGAUCAGGGCUGAACCCUGGGCCGGCAGGAGAAACUCUGAGGCUAGAGUUUGGUAGGGGCAGAGGGAAUUCCCGGUGGAGCGGUGAAAUGCGUAGAGAUCGGGAGGAACACCAAAGGCGAAAGCACUCUGCUGGGCCACAACUGACACUGAGAGACGAAAGCGAGGGGAGCAAAAGGGAUUAGAAACCCCUGUAGUCC
RNAcentral lists this ribosomal RNA (425 nucleotides) under uncultured bacterium. RNAcentral describes it as "partial 16S ribosomal RNA". It matches the Rfam family "Bacterial small subunit ribosomal RNA", at positions 354 to 796 of the family's 1533-position model. The record is from RNAcentral.